UCGAAAAAAAUGCGCGAAGAUAUAAAUUGUAAUAGUAAACCAAACCGAAAGCAAAUGUAUGCUAUCAAACUAAAAUCCAUGCUUUUUCAAUCUAUACCACGUUUUCCCCUCAAAGCUAAGCACUUCUCUUCUUCAGCUCCUUCUUCGUCUCCGAUUACACCAUGGUCCGGUCUGCAAUUCUGGCGAGACGGUCCACUCAAUAAAAACCGUUUCUGGGGACCUAAUGGCCCACAACCACCACCGCCGCCACCAAUUCACAGCGGCGACAAUGAACUAGAACUGGGUUCCGCUUCCUCUCUUGCUGAACUCGGCGCUCUUGUUCUCUCUACUAGUGAUCCCCUGCAAAAAUCCAAGCUUUCUCAUCUUGCUUUCUCCACAUGGCGCAACCACAAGCUUCCCAUUGGGUCUUGUGUUCCUCCUUCUAGACCCGCUCGUCCCCCUAAACCCCAAUUGGUGUCUCCAAAGGAAAUUCCGAAUCCCAAAGAUUCUGGUUUACCUCUCAAUGCUUAUAUGCUCCACAAUCUUGCUCAUGUGGAGCUUAAUGCAAUUGAUUUGGCAUGGGACACAAUUGUUCGGUUUUCGCCUUUUUGUGGGAUUUUGGGAGAAGGAUUCUUUGCUGACUUUGCUCAUGUUGCUGAUGAUGAGAGCCGCCAUUUUGCUUGGUGCUCUCAAAGACUUGCUGAGCUAGGUUUCAAGUACGGAGAUAUGCCUGCUCAUAAUUUGCUAUGGAGGGAAUGUGAAAAAUCGUCUGACAAUGUUGCUGCACGAUUGGCAGUUAUUCCGCUAGUCCAGGAGGCUAGAGGACUAGAUGCUGGGCCAAGGCUUGUGCAAAAAUUGAUUGGUUUUGGAGACUCCAGGACAUCUAAAAUUGUGGCUCGAAUUGCUGACGAAGAAGUUGCACAUGUAGCUGUUGGUGUCUAUUGGUUCGUAUCUGUCUGCCAGAAAUUGGGCCGUCCUCCUUGUUCCACUUUUAAAGACAUAUUGAGAGAGUACAAUGUGGAGGUGAAAGGGCCUUUCAAUCAUUCAGCAAGAGAAGAAGCAGGGAUUCCCCGUGACUGGUACGACACCUCAUUUACAAAUAAUAAAGUCGAGAAUGAAAAACAAGGCACAAAUGAGCAGCUCUCUGUGGUUUAUGAUCGACUUGCUUCUAUCAUCGCCAUGGAGUGUGAAAAUGCAAGUUUGAUUAAGCCCCCGGGUUGAUGCUUACUUAAAAUCUGACAGCUUAAACUCGACAGAUAAGCAGAUGGUCUGUAAAUAUGAAUCUGUGCUGAUAUUGGGGGCGGAACAGGUGACCUGGAAAACUUGGUUUCGUAUACAUCUCAACGAACAGUUGGCAUAAUAAGAGGUAUGAAACUGCAACAUUGCUUCAUCACUUUAUCUUGAGGAUUGACGAUAUCUGGUGACUUCUUGUACAUGCAUCUCUUUAACUUUCAAUCAACUUCCGUGAACACGAUAAAAUGAAAAAUCCUAGAUAGAGCUGCUGAAUCAGUAAAUGGAGUGCUAUCGCAUAGUUUUAAACCGCCAAGUUCAUGAGUUGGAGUUAAAUGGAUUCGAGCAGCUGACUCUUGGACUCAAAGGAGAUGUGUAGCAACCACUCUAUUUUUGUAUGUGAGGUGAAUGAGUAGACUUCCUGUUUUCUUUUGAUGAAGAAUGAUGAGGCAUAUUAGGUCCUUGCAUUUGUCCUACUUUUGAUAUCGGAUCCCUACACUUCUACUUGUCAAUAUUGAGUUUUUAUACUUUUAGUAUUGUAAA
RNA transcript from Mercurialis annua (annual mercury), 1752 nucleotides. RefSeq lists it as uncharacterized. Lineage: Eukaryota; Viridiplantae; Streptophyta; Magnoliopsida; Malpighiales; Euphorbiaceae. The record is from RefSeq and is a predicted model, not a curated record. The transcript has 8 exons.